GGCAAGAUGGCCGAGCGGUCUAAGGCGCUAGUUUUAGGCACCAAUCAUGUUGAUUGUUGUUAAUUUUCACUAGUCCGAAAGGGCGUGGGUUCGAAUCCCACUCUUGUCA
Talaromyces marneffei PM1 is the source of this 109-nucleotide non-coding RNA. The record is from Rfam. Lineage: Eukaryota; Fungi; Ascomycota; Eurotiomycetes; Eurotiales; Trichocomaceae.